GAGAGUAGGCCUCCGAAACCACGCGUUGCUGCGACGUUUGCACAGACGGGCGGGCGAUCAGGUUUUUGGGGAGCGCAAGGCGCGACUACUCACUGUUCGUCAACAUCUACUUCAUCUUCACCAACAUGUCGAACACUGGAGACAAGGAGAAGGAGACUCCCGUCAACACCAACGGAGGCAAUACUGCCUCAAACUCCAGCGGAGGACCAUUCUUGGGGUAUAACCUUAUUACAUUAUUUCAAUUAGAAGUUUUACUGUUAAUGUUCAUCGCAAUGUCAACAUUGUGUCAUUAUGUGAUUGUUGAUGCUUAUUCAACGUUAAGCAUGCUCAUGUUGAUUACAUUCACCACUAUCACUGGAUCAAAUCCUAUUGUAAAUAUCAUGUUUAUUAUCUUGUUAUUUUGGAUUAAAAUAUGCCGAAUUAUGACCAAAUUUCCAACAAACUUAGCACAUACAACAUAAUCCUUCAUGGACUUUGCAAAAACAAACUCACUGAUGAUGCACUUCGAAUGUUUCAGAACCUAUGUUUGAUGGAUUUGAAGCUUGAGGCUAGGACUUUCAACAUUAUGAUUGAUGCAUUGCUUAAAGUUGGCAGAAAUGAUGAAGCCAAGGAUUUGUUUGUUGCUUUCUCGUCUAACGGUUUAGUGCCGAAUUAUUGGACGUACAGAUUGAUGGCUGAAAAUAUUAUAGGACAGGGGUUGCUAGAAGAAUUGGAUCAACUCUUUCUUUCAAUGGAGGACAAUGGCUGUACUGUUGACUCUGGCAUGCUAAAUUUCAUUGUUAGGGAACUGUUGCAGAGAGGUGAGAUAACCAGGGCUGGCACUUACCUUUCCAUGAUUGAUGAGAAGCACUUUUCCCUCGAAGCAUCCACUGCUUCCUUGUUUAUAGAUCUUUUGUCUGGGGGAAAAUAUCAAGAAUAUCAUAUAUUUCUCCCUGAAAAAUACAAGUCCUUUAUAGAAUCUUUGAGCUGCUGAAGCAUUUUGCAGCUUUGAAAUUCUGUGUUGGAAUUCUUUUCUCCUACAGUCCGAUUAGAGGAGGGAUCUUCUCUGUAUGUGUAAAUAGCGAGGUAUGUAUGUCACCUCUCCGAAUUAUUUUGACUGUGGUUCCUGGACUGUAAACAAGCUAUUAUCUUCUGGUGUUGAUGCCAGAAAAAACACAAAAGUUUGUCGUUAUCUCUACUAACGGAUCAUAAAGGGGUUUGUAACUGGAGUUUCAAACUUAAGGUAUCUAGGCAGUAGGUAUAUAUUGAUCCUACAUCUUAUGAUCUUAAGAUGAUAUCCUUCUCAUUAUCCUCUGCUGAAACUUUAGCUUGAACCGUCAUCUACACCACAAUUUGAGCCCCUUAGCACAGAGCACAACGAGCAAUAGCUUGCCCUUACGUUCAUUAUUUAGCAUGCACUACUACUAACUACCCAAUAAUCAAUACAUCGGUUAUUAAACUGUUUGUACAGUUUAAUAAUGUCAUUUUAUCACGUUAACAUAUGUUUCAUUCAACACCACACCGGUUUUGGCACAGUUGCAAACUUGCAAUAACAUUUUUACUACUUCUCCGCCCCAUAAUAUAACAAUCUCGUUCCAUACUAUAUUGCUAUAUUACGGGACGGAUGAAGUACUUCUUUCCUUCCAAAAUAUAAGAAUCUAGUACUAGAUUAGAUAUUAUUUGGAUUCACGAAUUUGAUUAGGCUAUCUAGAUUUGUAGUCGUAUGUAAUGUCUAAUUCGGUAAUAGGUUAUUACCUCUUUGGAUGGAGGGAGUAGUUUUUAUUUCGUACUCCCUCUGUUUCAUAUUAUAAGUUGUUUUGACUUUUUUCUUAGUCAAAUUUUAUUGAGUUUGACUAAAUUUAUAGAAAAAAAAUUAGCAACAUUUAAGCACCACAUUAGUUUCAUUAAAUGUAGCAUGGAAUAUAUUUUUAUAAUAUGUUUGUUUUUUUAUUAAAAUGCUACUAUAUUUUUCUAUAAAUGUAGCCAAAUUUAAAGAAGUUUGAUUACGAAAAAAAAUCAAAAUGACAUAUAAUAUGAAACUGAGGAUGUAGCAGACUAUAGCAAAUUUAAACUAUGCUUUUAUUUUAGAGCAUCACCAAAAGAGAUAGCCUAAAUCUUAUCUUAACUAAUUAAAAUAUUCAUAAUUUUCCUUUCGUCACAUUAAAUUUUCGUCCGUAAAUCCGAUUGAAAUCCAACUAGACAAUCCAAAAAAUAGAGAAAAAGAACAGAAAAAAUAAUAAAAAGCACACAAAUCUUAUCUCAAUCCCGCGGGAAGCUGCCGAUGCCGCCGAAUCCGCUCGAGCGCCGCCGCCGCCGCUCACGGGGAACGAUGUCGCUGCUAUCGCACGUGGUAUGGGAGGGCGCCGCCGCCGCUGCUUGGGAGAUAGGAUAUGGAGAGAGAAGGAAAUGUGAGGGAGGGUUAGGUUUUUCCCCAUUCGUAUCUUCAGCGACACGGAGGCGAUCCAAGCUGUCCAUCAGAUCAGACGGCUCAGAACGCCUCCAUCUUCAGGCCGCGCAUGCUUGAUGGGCCGAGGGAAGGCCGGAGGGUCGAACAAACGUAGUCAGAGGAGGAGUUGGAGGAGGUAAAGUAGAAUUUAUUUGCGGGCUGAGAUAGUAAAUGGACUGAAAAUGGCCCAUAGAGAAAUUGGGAAUUUUAUUUAAAUAAAUGUUGAAAAGGUGUUUAUAUUAUCAAAAUUAGAAAUUAAGCUCCGAAAAUUUUAAAAAAUAUUCAAAGAGCAUUAUUAAUCAUGAUUAAUUUAAUAAAAAUUAAAUCCAACCAUAUCAUAUUAUUUCACGGCGCGCAGUAGGAAAAUGCGCAGCUGUUGUCGCUUACGGUGGGAGAGAAGGGACAUUGUUUAUUUUCAGAACUAUCUUUUAUAACUCCCAUGGAACUUUAAAAUAAAUAUAAUCAUUAUUAUAGCAUUAGUUUUUUUCUGUCUUUUUUUUCCCCAAGAGCGCCGCGCAGAAGAGAUCGAUCGCGAUCUCCCUGCCCCGACGUCGCCGGCCGAUCUCUCAUUCUCUCCACGCCCUGCUCGUCGCCGAUCUCCUACACCAUCCCUGCCAUCUCCUCCUUCCCCUCCCCUCUAUCCUCCACUGGUGCCGCCCACCUCUCCGUAUAAGACAAACUGCGUUGCGGCGUUGGUUUCCGCCGGCGCUGCUGCUGCACCUGUCAGCUAGGGCGGGCAUGGCGCGCCGCGCCGCUUCCCGCGCUGUUGGCGCCCUUCGCUCGGACGGCUCGAUCCAAGGGCGAGGAGGCCGCGCGGGGGGCAGUGGCGCCGAGGACGCACGCCACGUGUUCGACGAAUUGCUCCGGCGUGGCAGGGGCGCCUCGAUCUACGGCUUGAACCGCGCCCUCGCCGACGUCGCGCGUCACAGCCCCGCGGCCGCCGUGUCCCGCUACAACCGCAUGGCCCGAGCUGGCGCCGACGAGGUAACUCCCGACUUGUGCACCUACGGCAUUCUCAUCGGUUGCUGCUGCCGCGCGGGCCGCUUGGACCUCGGUUUCGCGGCCUUGGGCAAUGUCAUUAAGAAGGGAUUUAGAGUGGAAGCCAUCACCUUCACUCCUCUGCUCAAGGGCCUCUGUGCCGACAAGAGGACGAGCGACGCAAUGGACAUAGUGCUCCGCAGAAUGACCGAGCUCGGUUGCAUACCAAAUGUCUUCUCCUACAAUAAUCUUCUCAACGGGCUGUGUGAUGAGAACAGAAGCCAAGAAGCUCUCGAGUUGCUGCACAUGAUGGCUGAUGAUCGAGGAGGAGGUAGCCCACCUGAUGUGGUGUCGUAUACCACUGUCAUCAAUGGCUUCUUCAAAGAGGGGGAUUCAGACAAAGCUUACAGUACAUACCAUGAAAUGCUGGACCGGGGGAUUUUACCUGAUGUUGUGACCUACAGCUCUAUUAUUGCUGCGUUAUGCAAGGGUCAAGCUAUGGACAAGCCAUGGAGGUACUUACCACGAUGGUUAAGAAUGGUGUCAUGCCUGAUUGCAUGACAUAUAAUAGUUAUUUCUUGAAAUGUUGGAUCGAGGCAUUUGUCUGGACACUAUUUUCUUUAAUUCAAUAAUUGACAGUCAUUGCAAAGAAGGGAGGGUUAUAGAAUCUGAAAAACUCUUUGACCUGAUGGUACGUAUUGGUGUGAAGCCUGAUAUCAUUACAUACAGUACACUCAUCGAUGGAUAUUGCUUGGCAGGUAAGAUGGAUGAAGCAAUGAAGUUACUUUCUGGCAUGGUCUCAGUUGGGUUGAAACCUAAUACUGUUACUUAUAGCACUUUGAUUAAUGGCUACUGCAAAAUUAGUAGGAUGGAAGACGCGUUAGUUCUUUUUAAGGAGAUGGAGAGCAGUGGUGUUAGUCCUGAUAUUAUUACGUAUAACAUAAUUCUGCAAGGUUUAUUUCAAACCAGAAGAACUGCUGCUGCAAAAGAACUCUAUGUCAGGAUUACCGAAAGUGGAACGCAGAUUGAACUUAGCACAUACAACAUAAUCCUUCAUGGACUUUGCAAAAACAAACUCACUGAUGAUGCACUUCAGAUGUUUCAGAACCUAUGUUUGAUGGAUUUGAAGCUUGAGGCUAGGACUUUCAACAUUAUGAUUGAUGCAUUGCUUAAAGUUGGCAGAAAUGAUGAAGCCAAGGAUUUGUUU
Molecule: long non-coding RNA, 4610 nt
Filed under: Oryza sativa (Asian cultivated rice)
Lineage: Eukaryota; Viridiplantae; Streptophyta; Magnoliopsida; Poales; Poaceae
Description: long non-coding RNA (OSAT_LNC001876)
Source: RNAcentral